UGAGGAAUAUUGGGCAAUGCCCGCAAGGGUGACCCAGCAACGCCGCGUGGAGGAUGAAUGUCGUAAGAUUGUAAACUCCUGUUAGAGGGGAAGAAUAGUACCGGUUGGACCGGUAUAUGACUGUACCCUCAGAGAAAGCCCCGGCUAACUACGUGCCAGCAGCCGCGGUAAUACGUAGGGGGCAAGCGUUGUCCGGAUUUACUGGGUGUAAAGGGCGCGCAGGCGGGAUAAAAAGUCAGUGGUGAAAUCCUACAGCUUAACUGUAGAACUGCCUGUGAUACUUUUAUUCUUGAGUUCGGGAGAGAGAGACGGAAUUCCAGGUGUGGUGGUGAAAUACGUAGAUAUCUGGAAUAACACCAGUUGCGAAGGCGGUCUCUUGGUCCGACACUGACGCUGAGGCGCGAAAGCGUGGGGAGCAAACA
This 422-nucleotide ribosomal RNA is filed under the name uncultured bacterium. RNAcentral's name for it is "bacterial SSU rRNA". It matches the Rfam family "Bacterial small subunit ribosomal RNA", at positions 355 to 774 of the family's 1533-position model. The record is from RNAcentral.